Hibiscus syriacus is the source of this 338-nucleotide long non-coding RNA. RefSeq lists it as uncharacterized. The transcript has 2 exons. NCBI's taxonomy places the organism in Eukaryota, Viridiplantae, Streptophyta, Magnoliopsida, Malvales, Malvaceae. The record is from RefSeq and is a predicted model, not a curated record.
AUUUACCACGCACAUUCAAGAAAUAAUUGAUGCAAGUACUUAGGUUAAGCUGUUGUGGAUGGUUGUGUAGGUGAAAGUGGUGAAAAAAUAGUUUCCAAGAUAAAGCGAGACUUGCUUCCUACAAUGUUAAAUGGCGUGAUGUACUGGCCCUUUUGUGACUUCAUCACUUUCAGGUUUGUCCCAGUUCAUUUGCAGCCGCUGGUGAGCAAUUCGUUUUCGUAUUUAUGGACUGUCUAUAUGACAUACAUGGCAAGUCUAGAGAAACCAGUUUCGGUUACCUGCUGAUUGAUCUGCUACUGUUGAUUCCCUUGCAUUCAAGACUCGGCUUUCUAAGAUGG